Long non-coding RNA from Numida meleagris (helmeted guineafowl), 1862 nucleotides. RefSeq lists it as uncharacterized. The transcript has 4 exons. The record is from RefSeq and is a predicted model, not a curated record. Lineage: Eukaryota; Metazoa; Chordata; Aves; Galliformes; Numididae.
GAUUCCUGUCUACUUGAAGCCUUCUAAAGUCCCUUGCAAUGAAAAUCUCAACAUGCUUCUGUGCAAUCUGCCAUUUAUUUCUUCAGUGAUGUGGAGGCUCUCCAGUUAUAGAAAUGGAGCCUAGUGGAGAUCUCUGGAUCAGUUUGAAUACAUGUGUUGUUGACAAUGAGUUAGAGCUAUGCUCCAGAACAGUGCUGAUGAAGUCCACAGUGAAGAUCAAAUGCUUGGGGCUCUAGGAAGCUCCCUUUUCUUCAGCGAGGAGCUGGAAGUGCAUCUUCACAGACCAGAGGGCCGAGGCACUAUCAGAUUUCUUCUCAGUCUGUGCUCCUGAGAGCAUUCAGGCUCCCUCUUCUGUAGAAAGGAGACAUGGAAAGACUGUUCCCUGCCCAUUGCCAUUGGACCCUGAAACUGCAGUCAAGGGGAAAACGGCCUCUCCAGGUAGUGUACUCUGAAAUUUUUCUGAGACAUUUUGGCAGUAUUUAAUAUUUUCCAGAAUUCCAUAAGAAAAUAACAAACUUCAUUUAAGAGUCAGUGUUGAAAACAUAUCACUUAUGUAACAUUUUCUAUAUUAUUGUCUUAUUGGACAAUAUCUAUUCUUAUUGGAAGAAAUUAUCACAUGCUGUAUCUACAAAAGGCAGUGUUUUUUCAGUGGGCCACGAAGUUAUUUCCUCUUCUUACAGAGCAACAAGAGCAGAACUUUCAUGUAUUAGCAUCCAUGUAGUCUUUAUUUCUGAUCUCCACUAUUUAACAUAACAGUCAAUGACAAGAGGUUUUGGAUUUAAGGUUUCUUAAGGAUUUAUAUUUUAGAAGCUUAAAGAACUAAGGAGGUUUUUGAGAGAAAAGAGUAAGGGGAAAGAAACCCAGCUGAACAGCUCACUUUUAGAUGGAUUGGGCAGUUUAUGAAAUAAAUUGUCUUCUAAGUAAGCUUCCAUGAGUUCUCUCACAUGCAUGAAAGGACCACCACCUGAGUAUCUUGGCAUGUGUUUCAUGCCUUGUCAGAGAACAGACUCCCACCGAAGUCUUCUGAGACUGAUUGAUAGAUGUCACGUGUCUCAGAUAACUGUUCUUACCAAAGUUCUUGGAGAAUAUGGCUUUGUGAAUUCCCUCUCUCUAGCCUGUUUAUAAACUGUCUUAUAUGCAAUAUUGCAAUUUGGAUAGGAAGAAUAUGACAAGUUAAUUUACUAAGAUUUGCUAGCAAGUUAAAUAUUCUGUUUGGUGGGAUGGGUUAAACCUAUUGGAGCUGAACAGUGAAUCUGCGUUUUCCCUUUUAUCGAGUGAAUAUUCAAACUAUCAUGCUUUCAAAAGGCUGUACAUACUACUUACUACUAUGGAUCAUGAAUACCCUGUUCCCUUUUCCUUUCCCUGGUGUUCUCGUGGAAAACAAGAAAUGUCUUCAUUUUACAGUUCAAUCCUAGGCAUACAAGUUUCAGAUUUAUUGAUUUGAUUGUGUUGUCUCAAAUGCUGAAACUUCAGAGAUGUGGGAUGAAAAUGUGUUGAAUGAGAUGAAGCGUUCACUGUUGUAAAUUUCUCAACUCAUUGUGCUUAAAUUGCAUCCUCUACUUUUAAAUUGCUCUUUCUGUUAAUACUAUAUGCAAACUGGACUCACUGUUGACUUGGAUUCCACUCAGCUAAAUAAUGUAAAUGCUGACCAUUUUUAUCUGAUUCUAUUGCUUACGGACAGCUUUUGCAAUAUUUAAUGUUUUUUUCUGAACAUUAAAACAGUUUUCAUAAUUUCUGAUUUUUGUCCUGUCUUCACAGUUUUCUCAAAACUAUGUAGCUUCCAGAUUUGUUUUAUUUUGUUUCUGUGAAAGCUAAUACCUGCCAAAUUAAGUGGUAUGAUUAUUCUAACAGUGUUGAAUAAA